Molecule: non-coding RNA, 73 nt
Organism: Vitis riparia (riverbank grape)
Lineage: Eukaryota; Viridiplantae; Streptophyta; Magnoliopsida; Vitales; Vitaceae
Source: the annotation of a RefSeq genome assembly
CCAACCUUAGCUCAGUUGGUAGAGCGGAGGAUUGUAGAUCCUUAAGUCGUUGGUUCGAAUCCAACAGGUCGAA